This 501-nucleotide ribosomal RNA is filed under the name uncultured bacterium. RNAcentral's name for it is "partial 16S ribosomal RNA". It matches the Rfam family "Bacterial small subunit ribosomal RNA", at positions 30 to 523 of the family's 1533-position model. The record is from RNAcentral.
AUUGAACGCUGGCGGCAGGCUUAACACAUGCAAGUCGAGCGGGGGAAGGUAGCUUGCUACCGGACCUAGCGGCGGACGGGUGAGUAAUGCUUAGGAAUCUGCCUAUUAGUGGGGGACAACAUCUCGAAAGGGAUGCUAAUACCGCAUACGUCCUACGGGAGAAAGCAGGGGAUCUUCGGACCUUGCGCUAAUAGAUGAGCCUAAGUCGGAUUAGCUAGUUGGUGGGGUAAAGGCCUACCAAGGCGACGAUCUGUAGCGGGUCUGAGAGGAUGAUCCGCCACACUGGGACUGAGACACGGCCCAGACUCCUACGGGAGGCAGCAGUGGGGAAUAUUGGACAAUGGGGGGAACCCUGAUCCAGCCAUGCCGCGUGUGUGAAGAAGGCCUUAUGGUUGUAAAGCACUUUAAGCGAGGAGGAGGCUACUCUAGUUAAUACCUAGGGAUAGUGGACGUUACUCGCAGAAUAAGCACCGGCUAACUCUGUGCCAGCAGCCGCCGUAA